GGGGAACUGAAACAUCUAAGUACCCCGAGGAAAAGAAAUCAACCGAGAUUCCCCCAGUAGCGGCGAGCGAACGGGGAGCAGCCCAGAGCCUGAAUCAGUGUGUGUGUUAGUGGAAGCGUCUGGAAAGGCGCGCGAUACAGGGUGACAGCCCCGUACACAAAAAUGCACAUGCUGUGAGCUCGAUGAGUAGGGCGGGACACGUGGUAUCCUGUCUGAAUAUGGGGGGACCAUCCUCCAAGGCUAAAUACUCCUGACUGACCGAUAGUGAACCAGUACCGUGAGGGAAAGGCGAAAAGAACCCCGGCGAGGGGAGUGAAAAAGAACCUGAAACCGUGUACGU
Molecule: ribosomal RNA, 340 nt
Filed under: Escherichia coli
Lineage: Bacteria; Pseudomonadati; Pseudomonadota; Gammaproteobacteria; Enterobacterales; Enterobacteriaceae
Description: partial 23S ribosomal RNA
Rfam family: Bacterial large subunit ribosomal RNA
Source: RNAcentral